RNAcentral lists this ribosomal RNA (540 nucleotides) under Corythalia cf. valida JXZ-2013. Its description in RNAcentral is "partial 16S ribosomal RNA". The stretch from base 147 to 448 matches the Rfam family "Archaeal large subunit ribosomal RNA", at positions 2154 to 2717 of the family's 2987-position model. Lineage: Eukaryota; Metazoa; Arthropoda; Arachnida; Araneae; Salticidae. The record is from RNAcentral.
UGAUUUUCAUAGCCGCAUAUUAGUGCUAAGGUAGCAUAAUCAUUUGUCUUCUAAAUAAAGACUAGAACAAAAGAUUUAACAUUUUAUUUAUUUUAUUAAUUUUUAAAUCCUAAAUUUUCCUAAUUGUAAUAAGACAAUUUUUUCUAAAAAAGACGAUAAGACCCUAUUGAACUUAACUUAAGUUAAACUGGGGCAGUUAAUCAAUUAAUAUUUUAAUUUGUUUUUUUUUAAAAAUAUCUAAUUAUAUUUAACUAAUCAAGUUACCAUAGGGAUAACAGCGCAAUAAUAUUUCAAAGUUCUUAUAUAAAAAAUAGAUUACGACCYCGAUGUUGAAUUAAUUACCUAAUUAAAGCAAGAUUUAAUUAUUUUAAAGGAAGUCUGUUCGACUUGUAAAAAAUUACAUGAUUUGAGUUCAGACCGGUGUAAACCAGGUCGGCUUCUAUCUUUUUAACAAUUUUUACAGUACGAAAGGACCUAAAAAUAUAAUAAUAUUUAAAUAUUAGCAAAUAAAUGCAUUAGAGUUAGAAUCUAAUCAAACUU